Molecule: long non-coding RNA, 824 nt
Organism: Lutra lutra (Eurasian river otter)
Lineage: Eukaryota; Metazoa; Chordata; Mammalia; Carnivora; Mustelidae
Exons: 3
Source: RefSeq, a predicted model, not a curated record
CUGACUGCAGUUUCCUUAACUUUCCAUUUAAUUUUUUUCCCCCCUUGAAACUAAAAUCAUUUAAUGAAAUCGGACACUUCAAGGCCACUGACUGAUCUUCUGAGCAGGAGUUCAGGGCCGCUAGUAGAAGAUUGAUACAUUUAUUAAUUCUCCAUGCAGAAAGACAAACAGUGGACUCGGUCCAGUGGGAUGGAAACGUCUGGCCCCAGGUGUCCCUACGGAAUCUUCCAAAGUUGCCUAAUGGUCUUUGACCACACAGAUCCAGUUAAGGAAUACGGUAUGUUCACCACCAACGCCAUCACCACCUACCUGCUGUGUCCACUAGGCGGCCACACGGACCCCUACCUGAUCCUUAGAACCUGUGGUCUUUUCACAGGACAUUCAAAUGCUAUUUCUACCGGUGCUUUCCUCCGACCAGAGAGCUCUUUCCCCAGACGUCACAGCCAUCAUCGCUCACAUUCUUCAAGUCCAUGUGUUAAAGUCAUGUUGUGGAAGUAAGACCUUCAUAACCACCUCAUUUAAAGCUACAAACCCGUUUCCCUCCUUCUUGUGUGUUUUGCUGCACGUCAGUUACUGUGUUGCAACCUGCUCUGUAACUGGGUUGUUUUAUUUAUUUUCUGCCUCUCCCCACUGGAAUGGAAGGUGCGCGCGGGCAGGAUUUUGUCUUUAUUGCACAAAGACGUGUUUCCAGUGCCUAGAGGUGUGCUUGGUACAGAGGUAGUUCAUUAAGUACUUGUUGAUUAAUGAAUAAAACAUCAUCAACCUUCUCUAGAAACAUCAUACAUUUGGGUACAUAAGCUGGGUGCUAUAGUCUUCAUAUGAGU